RNAcentral lists this long non-coding RNA (239 nucleotides) under Mustela putorius furo (domestic ferret). RNAcentral's name for it is "lncRNA (ENSMPUG00000030776.1)". Lineage: Eukaryota; Metazoa; Chordata; Mammalia; Carnivora; Mustelidae. The record is from RNAcentral.
ACAGAAAUUGGAAUUCCCUCUACUUCAUAUAAACUAAGAUUCUGCAUGGUUUACACUAGGUUCUGAGAUUGAAGAAGGCCAGGAUCUUUACGGAGGAUGACCAGAGCCUGCCUGGAGAGACGAUGGAGCUGAAUGAUUGGCCAUCCAGCAGGAAGCUGAGGAGAAGGAGGUAAUAGAAGGGCAGAGGGGGUGGAGGAAGUUGUAUUGGGUCAGGGAAAGAACAAGGAAGACAGAGUGUC